CUGCUCCUCAGCCGUGGGCGUAUUGCCGUUGGAUGCCUUCUGCUUGGGCCCCGACCCCUGCUCUGGGGACGCCUCCUGCUUCUGUGUGUUGGCAGCCCCUUCCUCCUCCUUCGCCUGCUGCUGCUCUGAGUUCUCAGGGUCCACCGCUGGGCUCUUCUCGGGGCCGCUCCGCGCUGCCUCCACCUGCGCCGCCGGCCCCGCCCCCGUGACGUCACGCGCACCGCCCCCGCGCCGUCGGCCACGCCCACCCCGUGCCGGCCCCGCCCACCGGCACAGCGUCGCGGGGAGCGCCCGGCGGCGGCGCUGCAGUGGGCGGGGCGGGCAGGUGCGGAGUGACGUCACGGGGCGGUGGGCGGGAAAUCUCCCCGCGAGGGUUCGGGGUCGCGCGGCUGGACUCCGUGACGUCACCGCGCCAUGUAAGGAGCGCGGAGCCCCGCACACACCCCCCCACCCACGCGUACCGGCGGUGCCGCGGGCUGCGCAGUCCGUCCCCGCGCACAGCGGACCCCGCGCCGCUUCUGCACGCCGUACGACGGUCCCGCGGCGCCGGGGGGGGCGCGGGCGAUCCGUGACCGCGGGGCAGCCGAUAAGGACACGCCCGGGGCUAUCGCAGCCGUGCACGCGGCCGCCGCUGAUACGGGAGGGGCAGCGCCGGGAGGGCUCCACCCCAACCCCCCCCCCACGGCCCCCGCCUGCUGUGAUGGGGGUUGCGGGCGGCCGCGUGAGCCGCUGAGCUGCCGCGAAGCCCCCCGAAGGCCCCGCGCCGCCCCCCGGGCUCUGCGCCGUUCCCGCCGGGCGCCGCGCGCAGCGCUGCCGGCUGUGAUCCUCAGCGGCGUUACGGAGUGCCGCGCCGCCACCGCGAGGAGAACUGCGGCUGCAAAGGCGCCCGUGAGACACCGCAGCCAUCCCCUGCGGGACGGGGAGCCCUCGGAAGCCCCCGGAAACCCCUCCCAAAGGGCUGCGAGGAUGCGGGAGGGAGACAGAAAAUAAAGAGGUUUAUUGGCGCGGGGUAAAGCGCGACCUCAGCUGAGUUCGGCGCUCGGAACGCAUAAAGUGAUGAGAAAAGCCCCGCACUGAGCUGGGGGGCAAAGAGGAGAAUCUGCAACCCGGAACCGCCCCGAGUGGGGUUAGGAUACAAAACCGUACAAAGACCUCUGAAAAAAGAACGUCAGAAACCGUCGGAUCAUUUACAGUUUGCAGUGAUACACAGCGGGCUGAUGGGGGCUGCAGAGGGCCAACAGCUGCUGGGUUUGGAUCAGCCCGGACCCACAGCUUUGCUUUGGGACGGGAGUGGGGAUGGAGAAGGGCUGAGCGCUGCGGCACGGCCCGGAAUCCCGCUGGGCUGCAGCAGUGGGGAUGAGGAGAGGGGUGGGGAGGACGGAAGGCACGCGAGGCCGAGCUCUGCCCUGAGUGAGCCGAAGCACAGCUCCUGCAGGGCUGCUUCUGAAGGGACUACAAAGGGGACAACGGGACGCGGUCACUGCACUGACACUGCCAUGGGGACACCUUCUAUUCCCCGCUCCACACCAGAAAUGCUCCUUGGAUCUGAAGGAGGAAACUACACCCGGUUGGGUCUCCUCCUCUCUGAAGGACCCUCCCAGGCUCUGAAGGACGGCAGUGUUGCUGCAGUGACACCUCACAGCCUCCUUAUGCCUCUGGCUUUGCUGCCGUCCUCAAUGCACACGAGGCUAAAAGGAGUUUAAAUGUAAAAAGAAAAGACAGCCUUGAGCUGUGCAGAGAAUAGGGCAUCCCGGCCCCUCCAGGAGCAAAGAGCUGCUGUUGGAAAGCGUGAAGCAGGGCAAAGGGUGGCCACGGCGGUGGGGAGAGCUUUUGCUGACUUGAUGGAUUUAAUUAACCAAAAAUAAUUAAAAGGUUCAGUGGGAGCUCAGCAUGGGGCCUCAGCACUUUCCUCAUUGAGACGCUUUGCAGCAGCACACACCAGAGCCCCACGCUGCUGGCAAUGGGCUGGCAGUGCUUGCUGCCUCUGACCUCCUGGGCUUCCCCUGCCCCAUUCUCUGGGCUGCCUGCAUGGUGUGGGCAGCUGAAUGGCACAGGGUGCUGUGCCCACUGCGCUCUCUCUGCAGCCAGGCCGGAGCCAAAUGGCUUUAGUCCGCUCUCCCACCCAGUCUAUGGGAGAACAGAUCAAGGUGGCAGCUCCCAGCUGCUCUGCUGAGCUCUGCACAGAUGUGUGCUGUCGGUCAGCAGCGUGGCACAGAUGGGGCUGAUCCCUCAUCCACUGUAUUA
Molecule: long non-coding RNA, 2244 nt
Filed under: Gallus gallus (chicken)
Lineage: Eukaryota; Metazoa; Chordata; Aves; Galliformes; Phasianidae
Source: RNAcentral